Mercenaria mercenaria is the source of this 3491-nucleotide long non-coding RNA. RefSeq lists it as uncharacterized. The record is from RefSeq and is a predicted model, not a curated record. The transcript is spliced from 2 exons. NCBI's taxonomy places the organism in Eukaryota, Metazoa, Mollusca, Bivalvia, Venerida, Veneridae.
CCUAUUAGAGGGGAUUUGUUUAUCCCAACAGUAACUAAACGAUUAAUGGCACUAUUAAUGGAGGUAGAUCUAACUGUUCUUUUAUCACUUGCGACUAGAACUCGAGUUAGUAAAUAUUUUCACUGGAUUUUGCUCCAUUAGAUGCACCGGAAGGUUAUAUUUCCUGUUGGAUUUAGAGCCAUAUACAUCAAGUGUAUUCACCAUUUCUGAAAUAUAUGCACAUGUAUUCCUUUUAAUACAGGUAUACAUACAACUCUUUACAAAAUAUAAACUUGCCAACCUGCAAAUUUGUUUGUCUUUGUAGGUGGAAAUAAGUAUGGAUGUGCACGAUCACCUAAUUUUUUCAUAUAAAACUUACUUGUUUGUUUAGUUUUUUUUCAGAAAAGCAGAAUUUCUCUAAAACAGGCGAAGUUUUGAAAUAUUGCUCCGUUCCAGAGCAUAUUUCAGAAGUGCUCCGGACCAUAGCGCUUUUGUUUUCAGCAAGACACAGCCAGAGUCACCGUUAUUAUCCGGAAAAAAAUUAUAUUGUCAGUUUAAAAUUUGAUGGUUAUUUAGAAACUAAUGAAUUGUAGCCAAGAAAAAUGAUUCGCAAAUCAUUUAGACAAUUUUAAGUGAAAUGCCCCGUCCCUUAGCACAACAUUUUGUGACCAACAAAAUACGCCGUUGCACUCGGAUAUUAACAAAGUAACGACCGAAACAUUACCUGAAGUGAGUCGUUUUGUUUACAAAUCCGGCUCCGUACCUUACCUUCUGGACACGUGGGUACCGAACAGUGUUUAAAGCAAAUCUUAAUUACGUUAAUAAAAUUAAUUAUAAUAACGGUAUCCUUGUUAAUAAAACAAGAUUAUUUAAAUUGUAACAUAACUUGUGUAAGGUACACUGUUCAGUGUUUACUCUCUGUUUCAAACAAUAUAUCUCACAUUAUAAUCAAUUUAUUGACAAGAAUAUAUUAUAUGAUUUUAUUCAGAUUUAGCGAUAUACUGUUUCCUGCAACGUUGUUUGUGGCACUGGUUAAUUUAUGCAAGGUUGCUUUGCUAAACAUACCUAGUGUAAAGUUAUAAUUUACCUUCAGGAUAACAAAAUACUAAGCCCGCCCGCUUAGAUCAAUAGGGAGAGCGCAGAUCUACGUAUCUCGGGAUCGUGAGUUCGAGCCCUGGGCGAGGUGUAUGUUCUCCGUGACGAUUUUUUUAUAGACAUUGCGUCUGAAACCAUUCGUCCUCCACCUCUGAUUCAUGUGGGGAAGUUGGCAGUUACUUACGGAGAACAGGUUUGUACUGGUAUAUAAUCCAAGAACACUGGUUAUGUUAACUUCCCGCCGUUACAUGACUGAAAUACUGUUGAAAAACGGCGUUCAACCCAAAACAAACAAACAAAACAAUGAAAAAUACUUACAAGACCAAUUUGAAAUUGAUUUAUACAUUUAUAUUGAUUUAUUAACAUUAUAAUAACGCUAAUAAAAGAUAAGUGCUGCAGUUUUUUACGCAUUUUUUAUUGUUUCAUCUCCAAAACCGACCAAGAUAUGCAUAAUGGACUAAAACUUACAGGGUUAUCAUUUCGGAGAACGCACAAUUGUCAUGAAAGCUCUUAAAUUAUAAUUAUAGUUCAAAAGGUUUUUUCAUGGGAACAUUUUCUUUUCAUACAGUUGGUCCUACCAGACAACUCUAAAAAUAUAUAGGAAAAAUGCAUCAUAGAUGUAGUAGUGGUAGUUCAGGUAUUAUGGUGAACACAACCAUGUUAAAGUUUCGUCUAUUUAUUUGUAGGACAGUACCAGUAUAGUACAAGAAGAAAAACCUACAACACAAAACAGUAAAAUCAGGAACAUAAAAGCAAUACGAAAUACAAUGCAACAAUAGCAGACGUGGAAAAUACAGAUCUCUCGCGAUUAAUAAGUUAGUAUUGAAUUAAAAAAGAACAAAGCGUGCCAGAAACGUCUAACAAAAGUACACUUAGAUACUAAAGAGCAAGGCGUCCAAAGGUAAGGACGUUUUGCCAAAGUACAAAGGUAGCAAGGUGUCCAAAGGUAAGGACGUUUUGCCAAGGUACAAAAGUAGUCCUUAUGGAACUUGCGUUCACUAGCAAAUGAUUCUAACGAAUGAUGUAUACAGGGCCAUGUAGAUGUUAGUUCGCGCCAAAAAAUGCUAUUCGUGCAAAAGCUUUACUGACCAAUGAAGACGUGUCUCAUCUUUUACAAAACAGGAUCAUAUGCACAAGUGGACACACGACUGGACAUGAUCAUACAAACACGGAGUACAAUACAAUACGACGUAACACAGAGUACAGAUAUGAUACAACGAACUACGGAGUACUAAUACGAAUGCUUUAAGAAUAUAUAAUAACUGAAUAAUUUCAUCAAUUUAAAUAAUCAAGUGAAACUUAUCUCUGCUACAUAGACGUUAUCCUUUAUCCUGCAUAAUUUCUAAAAUGGACUGGUCCCUCAUUCAGUUUCGAAGUACCGCUUAUUAUUCAAAGGGGCGUUCUUUAAACAUUUAGUGACCGAAUAGCGAACAAUACAGACCAAGGCAUUGCACUUGCCUCAAAGGUAGAAUUGCAAAAGUUUAAUGGCCUGACAACAACCUUCCAUAUGUAAAAAUAACUACAGUUGAAUAUCGUUACCUCGAUAUCGGUUAGCUCGAUACUCCGGUUAGCACGAUGUGUUUGAGUCGGUCCCGAUUUUUCCCUAUUUAUCUUAACGUAAUUAUUUAUCAUUACCUCGAUAUGAUUAGCUCGAUAUUUUGUUUAGCUCGAUGCGAUUUUUCAGUCCCGUCAACUUACCUGUACUGUUUUUACACCUUGAUUCGUCGAUAUCACAGCUUGUCAAAAAUAUCCAUGUUAUUUGUAAGGUGUGAAAAUCAACCUAUUGUUGUCCGGCGGUGUAUUAAUCAUAUUCAAGUUAGUUUGUGCGUAUGCUUUGUUUGUUAUUUAUUCUUUACUCCAAUUUAAAUGUCAGGAAGUUUGCAUUUAAUUCCCAAUAAUUAGUGUUAUAAAACACUGUGCAAGCAGGAAAGCUGUUUUCAAAUAUAACAACUAAUUUGGAUGAAAGAUUUUUUGUUUGACGGAGUAAAAUCUGCCAUUUAGGACUGAGUAAAAAUAUUUAACUGGCAAAGUUUCGUUAUUUAAACACAGUCAAAAUGACUAUAGUGCAUAUUUUCUCACCUGGCGGAGAUAUUUAUAGAAAGGUCAUAAAUGGGCCAUUCUAUCAUUUAGUUUAGGGUAAUCGCGACUACAUCGUUAGAUUUGGUUUCAUUCCAUACGAAUAAAUCCGAUAUGCACAAGUUACCUAUUGUUUUUAAUGGUACAGUAUGUACUAAAAAUAUCUUCGCCAGGUCAGAAAAUAUGCACUAUACUCAACUAGGAACGUUACCGCUGCAUUCAGACUUGUUUAGGGAAGGAUUAAAAAUGUUAAUGUUUAAAUGUAUAUUUUGAAACAAUUAAAAGUUCUAUGUAUGUAUUUAAUUAGAUGGGUUUUUUUUGUAAAUAAAAUUAAAAUCGUA